CCUGCGGAAGGAUCAUU
Molecule: ribosomal RNA, 17 nt
Filed under: Sporobolus indicus (smut grass)
Lineage: Eukaryota; Viridiplantae; Streptophyta; Magnoliopsida; Poales; Poaceae
Also listed under: 24 other names
Description: partial 18S ribosomal RNA
Source: RNAcentral